AUUGAACGCUGGCGGCAGGCCUAACACAUGCAAGUCGAGCGGCAGCGACUUAACUGAACUUCGGGGAAUGUUAAGGGCGGCGAGCGGCGGACGGGUGAGUAAUGCCUGGGAAUAUGCCCUGAUGUGGGGGAUAACUAUUGGAAACGAUAGCUAAUACCGCAUAAUCUCUUCGGAGCAAAGAGGGGGACCUUCGGGCCUCUCGCGUCAGGAUUAGCCCAGGUGGGAUUAGCUUGUUGGUGAGGUAAUGGCUCACCAAGGCAACGAUCCCUAGCUGGUCUGAGAGGACGAUCAGCCACACUGGAACUGAGACACGGUCCAGACUCCUACGGGAGGCAGCAGUGGGGAAUAUUGCACAAUGGGGGAAACCCUGAUGCAGCCAUGCCGCGUGUGUGAAGAAGGCCUUCGGGUUGUAAAGCACUUUCAGUAGGGAGGAAGGUAGUGUAGUUAACACCUGCAUUAUUUGACGUUACCUACAGAAGAAGCACUGGCUAACUCCGUGUCAGCAGCCGCGGUAAUACGGAGGGUGCGAGCGUUAAUCGGAAUUACUGGGCGUAAAGCGCAUGCAGGCGGCCUGUUAAGUCAGAUGUGAAAGCCCGGGGCUUAACCUCGGAAUUGCAUUUGAAACUGGCAGGCUAGAGUCUUGUAGAGGGGGGUAGAAUUUCAGGUGUAGCGGUGAAAUGCAUAGAGAUCUGAAGGAAUACCAGUGGCGAAGGCGGCCCCCUGGACAAAGACUGACGCUCAGAUGCGAAAGCGUGGGGAGCAAACAGG
RNAcentral lists this ribosomal RNA (768 nucleotides) under uncultured bacterium. RNAcentral describes it as "bacterial SSU rRNA". It matches the Rfam family "Bacterial small subunit ribosomal RNA", at positions 28 to 776 of the family's 1533-position model. The record is from RNAcentral.